RNAcentral lists this small RNA (348 nucleotides) under Pongo abelii (Sumatran orangutan). Its description in RNAcentral is "retained intron". Lineage: Eukaryota; Metazoa; Chordata; Mammalia; Primates; Hominidae. The record is from RNAcentral.
GGAGAAGAAAAAGAAGGACCGAUUUUACCGAUCCAUCUUACCUGGAGAUAAAACAAAUAAAAAGAAAGAGAAAGAGCGGCCAGAGAUUUCUCUCCCUUCAGAUUUUGAACACACAAUUCAUGUCGGUUUUGAUGCUGUCACAGGGGAGUUUACGGGAAUGCCAGAGCAGUGGGCCCGCUUGCUUCAGACAUCAAAUAUCACUAAGUCGGAGCAGAAGAAAAACCCACAGGCUGUUCUGGAUGUGUUGGAGUUUUACAACUCAAAGAAGACAUCCAACAGCCAGAAAUACAUGAGCUUUACAGGUAUGAGAACUGUGUCCAGGGCAGUCUCAGCAAGAGAUGGUUUUAA